This 253-nucleotide ribosomal RNA is filed under the name uncultured prokaryote. Its description in RNAcentral is "partial 16S ribosomal RNA". It matches the Rfam family "Bacterial small subunit ribosomal RNA", at positions 524 to 776 of the family's 1533-position model. The record is from RNAcentral.
UACGAAGGGUGCAAGCGUUGUUCGGAAUUACUGGGCGUAAAGCGCGCGUAGGCGGGCUUAUAAGUCGAUUGUGAAAUCCCUGGGCUUAACCUGGGAACUGCAGUCGAAACUGUAAGUCUUGAAUGUCUGAGAGGACGGCGGAAUAACCGGUGUAGUAGUGAAAUACGUAGAGAUCGGUUAGAACACCUGAGGCGAAGGCGGCUAUCUGGCGGCACAUUGACGCUGAGGCGCGAAAGCGUGGGGAGCAAACAGG